RNAcentral lists this long non-coding RNA (994 nucleotides) under Homo sapiens (human). RNAcentral describes it as "SATB1 antisense RNA 1". The record is from RNAcentral. Lineage: Eukaryota; Metazoa; Chordata; Mammalia; Primates; Hominidae.
GGGAGCUUAGAUGUGGAAGCUCUUUGGAAACCAAGAAACACUCUGAAAAUGAAAAGGGUGGAAGAGUAAACUGUUCCUGUUUCUCCAUCUUGACAGGAAGCAGAAGUUCUCCUUAGCUGAUUUUUCUUCUUGCCUUAUACUGGGUUCUUUAACACCAGAACAAAAAUAAAUAAAUAAAAGAAUCUUCCAGAAAUUCAUGAAGAGACUUCAGGUCAGGAAAGCCUGAACUUUCUCAUCCAACACCCGUUCAAGUCGGAGGAUGCUGAUUAAUUCAUGAUGGAAAGGUAUCAAUUUCACAGCCCAGACCUCUACAUUCUUGAAAUGCUCUUCUCAUGGGAGACAUUAAAUAAGCUUUGAAUUAACUCUCUUCUUGGACUAAAAGGCCCUCAGCAUUCCUGUCAAUUUCUACACUCCUGAAGCUUCAUCUGGAGACCUCUGUGGAUUCUAUAACUCAAAGACCCAGGCUGACGGCUGGUGGAAUAGCUACCAUCUCAAACAUGGCGUGAUGCUGCAUCAGAGAGAAAAAUAAGCUCUUGCAUUGACAAUGAAAUGUCUACCCUGUAGUGACUUGUGCUUACUUCCACUCACAAGUGAUUGCCCAGAGCUACUUACCUGGCUCCAAUCUACCACUGGGUGUGUACUUGCAAUCUACCAUGUACCUAGAAGAUGAGAGAAACAAAUUAUUAAUGAUGACCACACCCCAAUACUAACAACAAUUGCAGAAGAAUCAAUGACUUAAACAAAAAUGUGGCCAUUGAAGGAAUAGAAAAUAUAGUGAGUUUAGUGUAAAUUUAAAAGUGAUUUAUAAGUAACAUACAAAAUCCAGAAACUAUAAGAAAACAGAUUCACAAAUAUAAAUAUAUAAAGCUUUAAAAAAGUUUAAUGUAACAAAAAUGGCAUAAAAGGAGUCAAAAGUUUUUAAAAAAUAUGUUAAUGCAGUAGAUUAGGUGCUAAUUUUCUUAAUAUACUAAUAACUCAAUAAGAGAAAUUUUGU